RNAcentral lists this ribosomal RNA (492 nucleotides) under uncultured bacterium. RNAcentral describes it as "partial 16S ribosomal RNA". It matches the Rfam family "Bacterial small subunit ribosomal RNA", at positions 29 to 507 of the family's 1533-position model. The record is from RNAcentral.
AGUGAACGCUGGCGGUAGGCCUAACACAUGCAAGUCGAACGGCAGCACAGUAAGAGCUUGCUCUUACGGGUGGCGAGUGGCGGACGGGUGAGGAAUACAUCGGAAUCUACUUUUUCGUGGGGGAUAACGUAGGGAAACUUACGCUAAUACCGCAUACGACCUACGGGUGAAAGCAGUGGAUCUUCGGACCUUGCGCGAUUGAAUGAGCCGAUGUCGGAUUAGCUAGUUGGCGGGGUAAAGGCCCACCAAGGCGACGAUCCGUAGCUGGUCUGAGAGGAUGAUCGGCCACACUGGAACUGAGACACGGUCCAGACUCCUACGGGAGGCAGCAGUGGGGAAUAUUGGACAAUGGGCGCAAGCCUGACCCAGCCAUACCGCGUGAGUGAAGAAGGCCUUCGGGUUGUAAAGCCCUUUUGUUGGGAAAGAAAAGCAGCAGGUUAAUACCCCGCUGUUCUGACGGUACCCAAAGAAUAAGCACCGGCUAACUUCGUG